Asparagus officinalis (garden asparagus) is the source of this 686-nucleotide long non-coding RNA. RefSeq lists it as uncharacterized. The transcript has 3 exons. The record is from RefSeq and is a predicted model, not a curated record. NCBI's taxonomy places the organism in Eukaryota, Viridiplantae, Streptophyta, Magnoliopsida, Asparagales, Asparagaceae.
UGUUAAAAAAUGGAUAGACACCAAAUUUAGAGAACUACAACUUGCUGAAUCAAGUCAGAAAGGAAAAGAAGUAGAGAUGAAUCAUGAUUUUGUGGAAGAAGAAAAGGAAUAUGAAAAGGAUGAAAAUGAAAACAUAUUGGAUCCUCUCUCUCAGACUCGGAAAGGUCGGCCUAGGCAAAACAGAAUGAAGCCAACAAGUAGGCGAAGAAAGAAGAAAAUUGAUCUAGCUGCUAAUGUGCCCAUCAACAAUCCAUCACAGUCUCAAGAGGGUGUUCAUUCCUACACACAAGAUAACAUGGUUUCAAAUGUUUACAUGACACAAGCAAAUACUGUGCAUCCAUGGGGAAUGCAGUUGCCUCAAUUUCCAAUGCCUGGAGAUCCACAUGCGAUGGGGUUGACACCUUGGUAUGGAUUGCAUCAAAGAAACAUGAUGUGAUGCAUCAAAACUAUGGGUGGACCUGCUGUGUGAUUUUCCAGAGUGUGAUUUUCAGGUGGACUUGCUAGUCUUCUUUCAGGUGGACCUACUGUGUGACUAGUGUGCAUGAAACUAAAUUGAUCCAGAGUGUGAUUUUCCAUUGCCUGUUACUGCAUACGGAUGUUAUUGUCCUGCUGCUCCUGCUGCUUCUGUUACUGCUGUUGGAAAACUAUGUUAUCUUUGAGCUAUUUCUGUCUUCUGUGUGCUGUUG